UAUGAAGGGACAAUUUCCCACAAAGGCCUGUUUAGAAAAUGAGCCCUUUCCGACUUCGAAGCUCAAGUUUAGACUACAUUACCAUCAAGGCCACUAAUGAUAAGAUUUAAUGGACACUUAAAAACAUUCUCUUAGAUAAAAGCCACUAUAAAUGUUUUCAGAAAAUUCAAGGGAAUUCAACCCUCGUGGUCUUUGUUGCUUUUAAAUUGAUAAUCUCUGGAACAGUGAGAAAGUGUUCUAUGACUACAGCCCUGUCAGGAUCGCAUUUUAAAGAAGAAUAGGGACGUUUGGAAGACAAUGGCAAGCUGGGAGCUUUACUGACAUCCUCAUCAUGGCCCAUGAGAAAAUAUCAACAAAAUAGUACUUAAACCAUCUAUUUCUUGGACUCCACUGUUACGAUCAUGUACCAAAUGAAGAUAUCAGGAGAAAGCCAGUAUCUGAGAUGUUUGAAAGAGGAUAAAACACUGACGAAGCAGUUAUCCCGGAUUUCACUCCGACCAGCACACAGAAAUCAGUUGCUCUAACUGAAAUGAGAUUCUACAGGAAAAUGUACAGUCACUUUAAGGGUCAUUAUUAUCAAACACUAUCAAAGACUCUCAAACACUUGAUUAUCUCUGAAGAGAUCU
This 626-nucleotide long non-coding RNA is filed under the name Chinchilla lanigera (long-tailed chinchilla). RNAcentral describes it as "lncRNA (ENSCLAG00000024073.1)". Lineage: Eukaryota; Metazoa; Chordata; Mammalia; Rodentia; Chinchillidae. The record is from RNAcentral.